CCUACGGGAGGCAGCAGUGGGGGAUAUUGCACAAUGGGGGAAACCCUGAUGCAGCGACGCCGCGUGGGCGAAGAAGUAUUUCGGUAUGUAAAGCCCUAUCAGCAGGGAAGAAGAAAGGACGGUACAUGAGUAAGAAGCACCGGCUAAAUACGUGCCAGCAGCCGCGGUAAUACGGAGGGUGCAAGCGUUAUCCGGAUUUACUGGGUGGAAAGGGAGCGAAGGCGGCACGGCAAGCCUGAUGUGAAAGCCCGCGGCCCAACCGCGGGACGGAUUUGGGAACUCCCGGGCUGGAGUGCCGGAGAGGUAGGCGGAAUUCCUCGUGUGGCGGUGACAUGCG
This 337-nucleotide ribosomal RNA is filed under the name uncultured bacterium. RNAcentral describes it as "partial 16S ribosomal RNA". It matches the Rfam family "Bacterial small subunit ribosomal RNA", at positions 338 to 690 of the family's 1533-position model. The record is from RNAcentral.